RNAcentral lists this ribosomal RNA (31 nucleotides) under Diutina mesorugosa. RNAcentral's name for it is "partial 26S ribosomal RNA". The record is from RNAcentral. Lineage: Eukaryota; Fungi; Ascomycota; Pichiomycetes; Serinales; Debaryomycetaceae.
UCUCGAAUCAGGUAGGACUACCCGCUGAACU